CUCGAAGGGUUCAGGGGAUCUCGUAGUCGAGCAGUCUCGACUAGAGCUUUCUUACUUGUUUUAUUCUGUUUAUUAUUGGACUUUUCUCUUUGGGAGUUCUGUGACCUUCAGACAAAAUUGGGAGAGUGACAAAUGUUGGCGUGGGUUGAUGAAAAAUGAUGAAGAUAAAACUCGUCUAAGAGGUUUUACUGGUGGGUAGUAUCAUUAGAUAAAGCUCGAAGAUAUACGCGUUAUUUAUAUAUGAACUGAACUUAUGUAUAUGUAUCUAUAUAGACAUGUAUAUGUGCGUAUAUAUUGUAUAUUCAUAUGUGAAAGUAUGUAUGAGAAUUCGCAAAUGUUCAUAUCAUAUUCAUAUACCCAAUUUUAUUAGACAAAUUGAAACUUCAUAUCUUUUCGCACUAUGGCUACAUUUUAAACAAACUGCAAGACUUGGUAAUCCAAAAUAUAGAAUUAUAUUGAAUGUCGUGGAAACACAUUUCGAUUUCUAUGAAUACACUCAAAUACAUAAACGCUUUUUCAAUAGGCCUUGCCUUAACACGCAUAAACUUGCCUCAGGGCUCUAAAAUAUUUCAGUUUCAAACUACACCUGGAGUCGAUAGGUUUGUCUUAAUUUCUGAUAAAUCGCAACCAAACUUAGUCCUUUAGGUGUGAGCCAUCAUGUGCUGCCAAAGCCGCUACUACCGGGAGACACCCUGUGUCCAGUGCUGCCUAGUCGAUUGCAGCUACUGCUGCUAUCGAACACAAUGCGCGGGUCCCUGUGGCCCCUGCAGGACUGCGGCGCCUUGCUGCUGCGGAGCUGUCGGCGAUCUCAACUACAAAUACUCCUUCUUUGGACUGCAUUUACUCUAGGCGGAAAUCGAUGUAAUUCCUUUGUCUCCCCUCCUAGCAGCGGCAGCAGCAGCACUUGACUCAUCGACCUUGACCUUAGACUAACUGCGACUCCCGAAAUUUGUUCUGCAAAAUUAUCAGUUGAAAAUAUAUGUCAAAACAUCCAGCCCAGUCGGUAUUGCUCGUCUAGGAGCUGCUCUGAGCGCUUUAAACAGCA
This is a long non-coding RNA of Drosophila mojavensis, 1045 nucleotides long. RefSeq lists it as uncharacterized. The record is from RefSeq and is a predicted model, not a curated record. NCBI's taxonomy places the organism in Eukaryota, Metazoa, Arthropoda, Insecta, Diptera, Drosophilidae. The transcript has 2 exons.